RNA transcript from Helicoverpa zea (corn earworm), 1574 nucleotides. RefSeq lists it as uncharacterized. NCBI's taxonomy places the organism in Eukaryota, Metazoa, Arthropoda, Insecta, Lepidoptera, Noctuidae. The record is from RefSeq and is a predicted model, not a curated record. The transcript has 3 exons.
UGACAUUUUGUUUGACAGUUUGCCAGUGGAGUGGUCAUCGAACUGUCGAUUUGUGUCGCUUUCUUUCAGUAUUUUUGCCCUAAUAUAGCAAAUCUAUUUUUAGUUUAGACUGAUUCAAAGCAUAAAAUAAUGGCAAUUUUACAUAGGGCCCUAUUUACUUGGUUCAUUUUCCUAGUCUUUUUAAUAUUACUAUGCCUACGUUUAGAAUCUCGGACUCACUGGAAUUGGUUUAUUGUUUUCAUACCUAUGUGGGUUUACGAUAGUAUUUUACUGAUUUACGUAUUAUUUCAUAUGAUCUCACACUGUAGGAAUGGUAUAGAACGAUUCAGAGGAACUAUUAAUAAGAACGUGUGGUAUAUAGCUGCAAUAGGUUUGAAAAUGGCAGCACAAAUAAUAAUAUGCAUCAAAUUGGAGUACACCAGAGUGAAUUUACCAAUAUACGUUGUCAUGACUCCUAUAUGGAUGUUACUGCCAGUUCUCUGUGUAGAAGUAUUUAUGCAUUUAAUAAAGCAUUCAAGUGGUAGUAGUAGAUACUAAAAUGUACCUAUUUUGGACUAUAAUAAACUCAACUGAAGGUGAAGCAUGUGACAAGGUGUGGUGUAGAUAAUUUUAAACUUGGCACACAUUCAUUGAGACUGAGUAUGUUUGCACAUGUCAAAUCAUUUGUGCCGGUGUUAGAUAUUUGGUGAUAUAACAAUUUCGCUGAAGGUUUUACUGGAAAUAUAAUUUUCAAGAUGCUUUCCUUGGGUGAUAGAGUCCCUGAGAUCAAACAGUUGACUGUGACAAAAGUGCCGGCCGGUAGUACAGCUGUGCUGAAUUGUCACAGCAAUGAUAUGGACCACAAUUUCAUGUUUUGGCUGUUCAAUGGUACUGAUGUGAUUGGCCCCGGUAACGUGUAUAAUGAACAGAAAUAUAAAUACGAGGUGCUCUCUGGAAAACUUCAUAUUCAUGAUGUAUCUGCAAGGGAAUCUGGUAACUACCAUUGCAUAUCAAAGAAACUGAACGGUGCAGGAUACACAGUGGGACAAGUGGAUAUGAUAGUCACUGGCUCAGCAUUUACUUCAAUAGAUGCUGUGAAAGUGGUAGCAAUUGUGCUGUCUAUCAUUGUGAUCAUAGGCUGUGCAGUGCUGUAUUACAAUUUGAGGAAGGACUGGAAAAGAUAUGAAGGCAGGGGAGUUAUACCAGUGGAUGAAGUUGAGGAUGAUGAAGGCGAUGGAGAUGAGAUAUACAACCGCACUACCACCCCAGCUCAGGCAAGGCAACUGAGCCAACCAGCCCCAGGCCCCAGUAGGAACCAAUCAUCUGAACAUCUCUUAUAUGGAAUAGACAAUCAGGGAUUAGACACAGAUUUCAAUUCAGUCUUCGAAAAUAUACAAAUAAAGUCACCACAAGCAAGUCUGAUUUAACAUAGCAAACUACAAUAUUUGUGAUAAAAUAAUCAGUAGUAAUAGUUUAGAAAAUAUGCAAUAUAAGAGUUUAAUAUUCUCUGUAAGGAAAUUCUCAUUUGUAAAUAUUUAAGAUGUAAUCUAGUAGUAAGAUUAUACUGUUAAAUAAAAUGUUUUUAUUUUAGUUUA